AUGAAGACCUGUAUGAAUGGCAUAACGAGGGCUUAACUGUCUCCUUUUUCCAGUCAAUGAAAUUGAUCUCUCCGUGCAGAAGCGGAGAUAAUCCCAUAAGACGAGAAGACCCUAUGGAGCUUCAGACAACAUAAUGGACCAUGUUAACAAACCUUACACAACAAGAAUAAACCAAUUGGGACCCAUUUCAAUGUC
This 195-nucleotide ribosomal RNA is filed under the name Tylosurus acus acus. RNAcentral describes it as "partial large subunit ribosomal RNA". Lineage: Eukaryota; Metazoa; Chordata; Actinopteri; Beloniformes; Belonidae. The record is from RNAcentral.